GCCUCUGUAGCUCAGUUGGUUAGAGCGCUGCACCGGAAUCGCAGGGUCGCAGGUUCAAUUCCUGCCAGGGACC
RNAcentral lists this transfer RNA (73 nucleotides) under Paramuricea clavata. It matches the Rfam family "tRNA". Rfam says of the family: Transfer RNA (tRNA) molecules are approximately 80 nucleotides in length. Their secondary structure includes four short double-helical elements and three loops (D, anti-codon, and T loops). Lineage: Eukaryota; Metazoa; Cnidaria; Anthozoa; Malacalcyonacea; Plexauridae. The record is from Rfam by way of RNAcentral.